UAGGGAAUCUUCCACAAUGGACGCAAGUCUGAUGGAGCAACGCCGCGUGAGUGAAGAAGGUCUUCGGAUCGUAAAGCUCUGUUGUUGGUGAAGAAGGAUAGAGGCAGUAACUGGUCUUUAUUUGACGGUAAUCAACCAGAAAGUCACGGCUAACUACGUGCCAGCAGCCGCGGUAAUACGUAGGUGGCAAGCGUUGUCCGGAUUUAUUGGGCGUAAAGCGAGCGCAGGCGGAAUGAUAAGUCUGAUGUGAAAGCCCACGGCUCAACCGUGGAACUGCAUCGGAAACUGUCAUUCUUGAGUGCAGAAGAGGAGAGUGGAACUCCAUGUGUAGCGGUGGAAUGCGUAGAUAUAUGGAAGAACACCAGUGGCGAAGGCGGCUCUCUGGUCUGCAACUGACGCUGAGGCUCGAAAAGCAUGGGUAGCGAACAGGAUUAGAUACCCUGGUAGUCCAUGCCGUAAACGAUGAGCGCUAGGUGUUGGGGACUUUCCGGUCCUCAGUGCCGCAGCAAACGCAUUAAGCGCUCCGCCUGGGGAGUACGACCGCAAGGUUGAAACG
This 556-nucleotide ribosomal RNA is filed under the name uncultured bacterium. RNAcentral describes it as "partial 16S ribosomal RNA". It matches the Rfam family "Bacterial small subunit ribosomal RNA", at positions 355 to 901 of the family's 1533-position model. The record is from RNAcentral.